UGCAACGUCUGAGUCGGGGGUUUGUUUCGAGCACUCGACUGUACUUUUUUGGAUCUCAUCCGUAGACUGUUUCACAUGAUUAUUGCGUACGUGGUAAAAUAGAUUAGUGGUGUUUGAGCAUGUUGUCGGGAACGGCCUGCGGCUUAUUUUGCGGAGGACGGUUUUCUUUUCGUUUCAGACUUGUCAUAUCCAAACCACGUCCAUGCCACCGACGUAGUUCCUCUUUUAGUAGUUCUUUUUUUUACGAGCCGUGUCGUCCUCCGUGUCACAUUCACUCUCCUCCAUGUUUGCUUGUGUUGCAAAGCGUCGUCCAAUUGACAAAAAAUAUUGGCGUGAUUUGUGACACAACGAAAUAAACGAUAGAGCAUAAUAUGAAACGUUAGACAUUUUUCUAUCGUCACGCGAUGUAUAUCGUCAUAUCGCCCAGGCCUAAAACCAAUCAAGUUGAAUAAGCGUCUCAAGGAUGAUAAAUGGAAACAGGAUGCACCUGAGCUCAAUUUCAGUCUUAUAGCAAAGGGUCUGAAUACUUAUGUAAAUAAGGUAUUUCUGUUUGACAUUUUUCAUAAAUUAGCAAACAUUUAAAACAUUUUUUUUCGCUUUGUCAUUAUGGGUUAUUGUGUGUAGAUUUGAGGGAUUAUUUUUCAAGUGGAAAAAGGAAAGGGGUCUGAAUACUUUUCAAACGCAUUGUACAUAUGAAUUGGAUAAAGCAGUCUGUUAACAUUAUUAAAGUGACUAGUGAUUUCAUGUCUAUGUUCAGCACCAGUCAAAGGUUUGGACACCUACUCAUUCAAGGGUUUUUCUAUUUUUGUACUCUUCUCUACAUUGUAGAAUAAUAGUGAAGACAUCAACACUAUGAAAUAACACAUAUGGAAUCAUGUAGUAACCAAAAAACUGUUAAACAAAUCGAGAUAUAUUUUAUAUUUGAGAUUCUUCAAAGUAGCCACCCUUUGCCUUGAUGACAGCUUUGCACACUCUUGGCAUGUUUGCUUAUGGCCUUAUACAGCUGGUUGAAUGCUGUCUUAGUACCAGCAUCGGUUUGUGGUGGUAAAUAGAGGGCUACGAAUAAUAUAGAUGAGAACUCUCUUGGUAGAUAUUCUGGUCUACAACUUAUCAUAAGGUACUACCUCAGGCGAGUAAUACCUCGAGACUUCUUUAAUAUCAGACAUCGUGCGCCAGCUGUUGUUGUAACGGUUUUCCUCCUCUUCUGAGGAGGAGUAGCAAGGAUCGGACCAAUAUGCAGCGUGGUAAGUGUUCGUCAUUUUAUUAAACUGAACACUACAAUACAAAAUAAACAAAAAGAACAACCGAAACAGUUCCGUCUGGUAACUAAUACAAAGACAGAAAACAACUUCCCACAAAUCAUAGUGGGAAAACAGGCUGCCUAAAUAUGGUUCUCAAUCAGAGACAACGAUAAGCAGCUGCCUCUGAUUGGGAACCAUACCAGGCCAAACACAGAAAUACAAAAACAUAGAACAACAACAUAGAAUGCCCACCCCAACUCACGCGCUGACCAAACUAAAAUAGAGACAUUCAAAAGGAACUAAGGUCAGGACGUGACAGUACCCCCCCCCAAAAGUCCGGACUCCGGGCGCAAAACCUAAAUCCAUAGGGGAGGGUCUGGGUGGGCAUCUGUCCGCGGUGGCGGCUCUGGUGCGGGACGUGGACCCCACGUGGUCUGGCAGCGCCUGACAGGCGGGGGACUCUGGCAGCGCCUGACAGGCGGGGGACUCUGGCAGCGCCUGACAGGCGGGGGACUCUGGCAGCGCCUGACAGGCGGCAGCUCCUGAUUGACGGGCGGCUCUGGCAGCUCCUGACUGACGGGAGAACCUGGAGGGAGGAGACGGAGAGACAGCCUGGUGCGUGGGGCUUCCACAGGUCCCACCAUUCUGGGGAGGAGGCACCGGAUGGACCGGGCUGUGGGUGAGCACUGGAGCUCUGGUGCGCAGCCUUGGCACCACUCCUCCAGGCUGGAUGACCACUUUAGCCCGGACCCUCCAGAGUGCAGGCACAGGUUGAACCGGGCUGUGGGGAUGCACUGGAGAUCUGGUGCAUACCACUCUCACCUCUCCCUUAGGCUCAAUCCCACAUUCGCCCUGCACAGGCGGAGCGCAGGCAUAGGGCGCACUGCACCCUCCCAGCGCCCCGGAGACACAGCACGCAGAGCCCGGCGCAGGAUACCCUGGGCCGAAAUGGCGUACCGGAGACCAAACACGCUGAGCCGGCACAAUACGCCAAUUUUUGGGGGGGCUGCCUCUCGUGCCUGUUGCGCUGCCUUACCUCAUAUCGCCGCCGCUCAGCUUUCGCUGCCUACAGUUCUUCCUUGGGGCGGCGAUAUUCCCCAGUCUGUGCCCAGGGUCCCUUGCCAUCCAAUAUGUCCUCCCAUGUCCAUUUCUCCAGAUAUCACUGCCUCUCGUUACCACGCUGCUUGGUCAUUUCUUGGUGGGUAGUUCUGUAACGGCUUUCCUCCUCUUCUGAGGAGGAGUAGGAAGGACAGUUGUUGACAAAUAGACACACACUACCGCCCCUUGUCUUACCAGACGUAGCUUCUCUGUCUGCCGAUGUAUGGAAAAUCCCGCCUAUCCCGUCUAUAUUUUCUGUGUCGUCGUUCAGCAUAAGAUAUUACAUGUCCCGUUGGUAGGAUAAUCUUGAUCGUAGAUCAUCCAUUUUAUUUUCCAAUGAUUGCACUUUGGCCAACAGAACAGAUGGCAGUGGGGGUUUACUCACUCACCUAUGAAUUCUCAGAAGGUAGCCCAAACUCCGCCUCUUUUUUCUCUGUAUUUUCUUCAUGCAAAUGACCGGGAUGUGGGCCCGUUCCCGAGAAAGCAGUAUAUCCUUCAUGUCGGACUCGUUAAAGAAAAAAAUCUUCAUCCAGUUUGAGAUAAGAUCAAACCAGGCUACAACUUAUCCGUGUAAUCUCACCAAAAGAAUGUGGUGAUCGAUGGUGUCAGAAGCAGCACUAAGGUCUAGGAGCACGAGGACAGAUGCAGAGCCUUGGUCUGACGCCAUUAAAAGACGAAAUGGCAGAGUCCAGUGUUCAUAGUAAUCCAAGGAUGAGAAAAUUCUUCAUUGUUGUCAGUGGCAAUACCUUGGAAUCUCAUAAGGACUUUUUGAAACAACUCACCAUGCAACGAGACUUUACUGAAGUGAGGACCCCGGAGAAGAGUGAUGUCAUCAUAACUUUCUGUCAGUCGUGCUGGGACUGAUAUUGAAGCAGCACUGCAGGAGACCAAGUAACGAAGCAAAGUUGACAUAUACUGUAUAUCUGAAAUGUUUUAUAUGAAAUCCAUGUCCGUGUUGACCUAUGUAUCUAGCAAGAUGCUAAUUAUCUGAGUGUUUUAUUUGUUAGCUGUUUGUUAUGCUAAACAUUUUUUUGUCACUCUCUAUACAGCUGGUAAAUGUGUUGUUUUGGUGGCGCUGCAUCAUUCCUUCAACCCAGACUGCACAGUACCUGACAGUAGCAGACUGGUGACCAGAGGUGAUAUGCUAACAGUGGACUGUCUGUUCCAUGAGAACCAGGGACUACUGGACUGUCCUCGCAAUACAGAAGCAGUCCGUACGAUUUGGAGCCAUCUGAACAUACAGCCAAUGAACGCCAGAAAAGGUUUGUUCAAAGACAAAAAGCCGAGUGAGCAGAAGAAGAGUAAGAAGCAAGUGGAUGCACCGAAAAAAUAACUAUGGGAAGAAAAAUGUCAGCAAUGUGUACACAAGGACAAACUACUAAAGCAAAUAAAUGAACUAAACAAAAUACUUGAUCAACAGGUACAUCAUCUGAAGAGCGAGGUAGAGAGACUGAGAAGCCAGGUCUCAGCCCAGAUGACUGAUGUUUUGAGUGACCAGUGCAAUUUCUCACAAAAGGAUGGACAUGCCAUUGGUAGACAUUCCAGCAGUACCUGCGAUCGAAAUAGCCUAGAACAGUUUUUUUUAAAACUGCCGCAAGGACUUGACGAAGAGUUGUAAAAGUGAAUGUUUUACUGAUGUUUGUCAAGCUCGCGAAUGCAAACUAAUCAUAAACAGAUGUAGCCUACACACAACAGCUAGCCGGACCUCCCAGUUUCCCCUCUGGUAGAUUUGUAUUCCUUCAUUACUACUGAUAUGUAAUUGAUGUAGAAAUAUUACAUGUCUGAUGUGGUGCAUGUUUGUCUCUUAAGUAUGAAAAAUUCAAUUGCACUGAUAUACAAUAUCAAAUCAAACUUGAUUUGUCACGUGCCGAAUACAAGUGUAGACCUUACUGUGAAAUCCUUACUUACAAGCCUUUAACCAACAGCGCAGUUCAAGAAGUGUUAAGAAAAUAUUUACCAAAUAAACUAAAGUAAAAAGUAACACAAUAAAAUAACAAUAACGAGGCAUGGACUCACAAGUUGUCGAAAGCGGUCUACAGGGAUGCUGGCCCAUGUUGACUCCAAUGCUUCCCACGGUUGUGUCAAGUUGGCUGGAUGUCCUUUGGGUGGUGGACCAUUCUUGAUACUAACACGGGAAACUGUUGAGUAUGAAAAACCCAGCAGCAUAGCAGUUCUUGACACACUCAAACCGGUGCGCCUGACACCUAAUACCAUACCCCGUUCAAAGGCACUUCAAUCUUUUGUCUUGCCCAUUCACCCUCUGAAUGGCACACAUACACAAUACAGGUCUCAAUAUUGUCUCAAGGCUUAAAAAUCCUUCUUUAACCUGUCUCCUCCCCUUCAUCAACACUGAUUGAAGUGGAUUUAUCAAGUGACAUCAAUAAGGGAUCAUAGCUUUCACCUGGUCAGUCUAUGUCAUGGAAAGAGCAGGUGUUCCUAAUGUUUUGUACACUCAGUGUAUAUCAAACAGUAUUUUGGUGAAUGGUCUGUAUAGUCAUCGUUUCUUUAUAACUUUUCUUGAUGUCUAUGAGGAACGAACUUAAAUCUCAAAAAGGAUGUUAUCACGUGAGCCUGCUCAGCCUUGUCUUUGGAUAAUAAAAUGUAUUAUGAAAUUAAA
This is a long non-coding RNA of Oncorhynchus nerka (sockeye salmon), 4956 nucleotides long. RefSeq lists it as uncharacterized. The record is from RefSeq and is a predicted model, not a curated record. The transcript is spliced from 7 exons. Lineage: Eukaryota; Metazoa; Chordata; Actinopteri; Salmoniformes; Salmonidae.